This 158-nucleotide ribosomal RNA is filed under the name uncultured fungus. RNAcentral's name for it is "partial 18S ribosomal RNA". It matches the Rfam family "Eukaryotic small subunit ribosomal RNA", at positions 576 to 733 of the family's 1831-position model. Lineage: Eukaryota; Fungi. The record is from RNAcentral.
GCGGUAAUUCCAGCUCCAAUAGCGUAUAUUAAAGUUGUUGCAGUUAAAAAGCUCGUAGCUGAACUUCAGGCCUGGCUGGGCGGUCCGCCUCACGGCGUGUACUGUCUGGCUGGGUCUUACCUCUUGGUGAGCCGGCGUGCCCUUUAUUGGUGUGCGUC